RNAcentral lists this ribosomal RNA (422 nucleotides) under uncultured bacterium. RNAcentral's name for it is "bacterial SSU rRNA". It matches the Rfam family "Bacterial small subunit ribosomal RNA", at positions 355 to 774 of the family's 1533-position model. The record is from RNAcentral.
UAAGGAAUAUUGGUCAAUGGAGGCAACUCUGAACCAGCCAUGCCGCGUGAAGGAUUAAGGCCCUCUGGGUUGUAAACUUCUUUUAUAUGGGAAGAAAUGUACUUUUUCUAAAGUGCUUGACGGUACCAUAGGAAUAAGCACCGGCUAACUCCGUGCCAGCAGCCGCGGUAAUACGGAGGGUGCGAGCGUUAUCCGGAUUUACUGGGUUCAAAGGGUGCGUAGGUGGGCUUAUAAGUCAGUGGUGAAAUCUCCGAGCUUAACUUGGAAACUGCCGUUGAUACUAUAGGUCUUGAAUUACCUGGAGGUAAGCGGAAUAUGUCAUGUAGCGGUGAAAUGCUUAGAUAUGACAUAGAACACCAAUUGCGAAGGCAGCUUACUACAUAUAAAUUGACGCUGAGGCACGAAAGCGUGGGGAUCAAACA